CAGUAGCCGCGGUAAUACGUAGGGUGCGAGCGUUAAUCGGAAUUACUGGGCGUAAAGCGUGCGCAGGCGGUCUUGUAAGACAGGCGUGAAAUCCCCGGGCUCAACCUGGGAAUGGCGCUUGUGACUGCAAAGCUAGAGUGCGGCAGAGGGGGAUGGAAUUCCGCGUGUAGCAGUGAAAUGCGUAGAUAUGCGGAGGAACACCGAUGGCGAAGGCAAUCCCCUGGGCCUGCACUGACGCUCAUGCACGAAAGCGUGGGUAGCAAACAGGAUUAGAUACCCCGUAGUCCCUGUCUCUUAUACC
RNAcentral lists this ribosomal RNA (301 nucleotides) under uncultured bacterium. Its description in RNAcentral is "partial 16S ribosomal RNA". It matches the Rfam family "Bacterial small subunit ribosomal RNA", at positions 509 to 808 of the family's 1533-position model. The record is from RNAcentral.